UCUUCGUAGGUGAACCUGCGGAGGGAUCAUUACAGAGUUCAUGCCCUACCGGGUAGAUCUCCCACCCUAUGUUAUUAUUACUUUGUUGCUUUGGCGGGCCGUUAGGCUCCGGCCCGACUACCGGCCCCGGCUGGUAUGCGCCCGCCAGAGGACCCAAAACCCUGAAUAUUAGUGUCGUCUGAGUACUAUAUAAUAGUUAAAACUUUCAACAACGGAUCUCUUGGUUCUG
Molecule: unclassified non-coding RNA, 229 nt
Filed under: plant metagenome
Description: partial contains small subunit ribosomal RNA, internal transcribed spacer 1, and 5.8S ribosomal RNA
Source: RNAcentral